AUUGAACGCUGGCGGCAGGCCUAACACAUGCAAGUCGAGCGGUAGAGAGGUGCUUGCAUCUCUUGAGAGCGGCGGACGGGUGAGUAAUGCCUAGGAAUCUGCCUAGUGGUGGGGGAUAACGUUCGGAAACGGACGCUAAUACCGCAUACGUCCUACGGGAGAAAGCGGGGGAUCUUCGGACCUCGCGCCAUUAGAUGAGCCUAGGUCGGAUUAGCUAGUUGGUGAGGUAAUGGCUCACCAAGGCGACGAUCCGUAACUGGUCUGAGAGGAUGAUCAGUCACACUGGAACUGAGACACGGUCCAGACUCCUACGGGAGGCAGCAGUGGGGAAUAUUGGACAAUGGGCGAAAGCCUGAUCCAGCCAUGCCGCGUGUGUGAAGAAGGUCUUCGGAUUGUAAAGCACUUUAAGUUGGGAGGAAGGGUAGUAACCUAAUACAAUUGCUACUUUGACGUUACCGACAGAAUAAGCACC
This 472-nucleotide ribosomal RNA is filed under the name uncultured bacterium. Its description in RNAcentral is "bacterial SSU rRNA". It matches the Rfam family "Bacterial small subunit ribosomal RNA", at positions 30 to 494 of the family's 1533-position model. The record is from RNAcentral.